CAGAUUGCUCGCUGGUAUCUGG
RNAcentral lists this microRNA (22 nucleotides) under Blattella germanica (German cockroach). Its description in RNAcentral is "Bge-Mir-216-P1_3p* (star (passenger))". Lineage: Eukaryota; Metazoa; Arthropoda; Insecta; Blattodea; Blattellidae. The record is from RNAcentral.